This is a long non-coding RNA of Bufo bufo (common toad), 122 nucleotides long. RefSeq lists it as uncharacterized. NCBI's taxonomy places the organism in Eukaryota, Metazoa, Chordata, Amphibia, Anura, Bufonidae. The record is from RefSeq and is a predicted model, not a curated record. The transcript has 4 exons.
AAAUUAUGCAGGGGCACAGAGGUGGUGCAACAAAGAAGAAACAACUAGGCGGCACUCACCAAAAAGUGGAUGUUCUUUAUUCCAGAUGCCAUAAACAUUCACCGAUACAGGCAUGGGGCGGA